CAGCAGCCGCGGUAAGACGAACCGUGCGAACGUUAUUCGGAAUUACUGGGCGUAAAGCGUGCGUAGGCGGUUUGUUAAGUCUGCUGUGAAAUCCCCGGGCUCAACCUGGGAAUGGCAGUGGAUACUGGCAAGCUAGAGUGUGUCAGAGGAUGGUGGAAUUCCCGGUGCAGCGGUGAAAUGCGUAGAGAUCGGGAGGAACAUCAGUGGCGAAGGCGGCCAUCUGGGACAACACUGACGCUGAGGCACGAAAGCGUGGGGAGCAAACAGGAUUAGAUACCCCUGUAGUCCCUGUCUCUUAUAC
RNAcentral lists this ribosomal RNA (301 nucleotides) under uncultured bacterium. Its description in RNAcentral is "partial 16S ribosomal RNA". It matches the Rfam family "Bacterial small subunit ribosomal RNA", at positions 509 to 807 of the family's 1533-position model. The record is from RNAcentral.